UACAGAGGUCCCGAGCGUUGUUCGGAUUCAUUGGGCGUAAAGGGUGCGUAGGCGGUCUGCUAAGUUUGAUGUGAAAUCCCGGGGCUCAACCCUGGAAUGGCAUUGAAUACUGGUGGACUAGAGUACUGGAGAGGAAACUGGAAUUUACGGUGUAGCAGUGAAAUGCGUAGAGAUCGUAAGGAAGACCAGUGGCGAAGGCGAGUUUCUGGACAGUAACUGACGCUGAGGCACGAAGGCCAGGGGGAGCAAAACGGGG
Molecule: ribosomal RNA, 256 nt
Filed under: uncultured bacterium
Lineage: Bacteria
Description: partial 16S ribosomal RNA
Rfam family: Bacterial small subunit ribosomal RNA
Source: RNAcentral